Molecule: long non-coding RNA, 4141 nt
Filed under: Homo sapiens (human)
Lineage: Eukaryota; Metazoa; Chordata; Mammalia; Primates; Hominidae
Description: HSALNT0123356
Source: RNAcentral
GUGGGCAUUACCGCAGUAUAUAAAUGAUGUUGAAGAGAGAUAACGUUUUUUCAGGUUCCUGUAUCUUCAUGUCGAGUUGGUCGCUGCCCAACGUAGAGGACUAGGAAUCAGGAGUCAGUGGCCGUAUGCUGGAGGCUGGAGCCACGUGAACGCGGCUCGCCUUGCUGCGGUUGUUGGCAGUGAUGGAGAGAUAGCAGCGCGACUGGAGCGCUACAUUUACUAGAGCGACAAAAAGUGCUACAAGAAAAAGAUGAGCUCAGAAAAGCACUGGCCAGUUUAGAAGAAUUAAAAGAGAAAAAAACAGAAAUUAUCGGACUUGCAGGAUUAAGAUAGAUGGAGUGUCACUAUGUGGCCCAGGCUAGUCUCCUGGCCUUAAGUGAUCCUCCUGCCUCAGCCUCCCAAAGUGCUGAGAUGACAAGCAUGAGCUACUGCACCCGGCUGAAAGACAACUAACCAGACUUCACAUGAAAGUGGGAAAUGUUUAAUAUAGUUUUGAGAAGUGAAGAUUGAAAAAUAAUACAACAAUAAUGAGAUGAAGCUGUACAACAUCUGCGUUGAGCCAUUUGACCCAAGCAGUGAAUCAAAGAUUUCAAUGGUCAUAUAUAUCAAAUUUUCAACAAGAAGUUCUGCUUAAUCACUCUAUGGAGUGCUCAUUCAUGUGAAAGAGGAAGUUAUAAAGUAAUAAAGUCACAGUUAAAUGAAUGCUGUAUUUGGGGAUUUGAUACAGGAAAACUAGAAUGCCAUGAACUAAGUUUUCCCUGCUACGUGGGUCUUUCCUCAACUAGAUUAUAAUUCCUAAAGGUCACAGAUCAUAUAUGUCCUUCUUCCACUUCUUCAUUUCUAUUAUUCCUUAUAAAUCUUUCAAAUAAAAUUUGCUCAGUAUAUUGUACUACUACUUGAUCACCUAAGUAUGAAGGCAUAUUCUAUAAAUGCAAGGCUCUGGGCAGAAAUUUCUUCAAUUUGUCCUGACUCAAGAAAGCCUUAAAACGAUACAUAAAGUUUCCCAUUUUCUAGUUUUAUUUCAUAAUUAGUUAAUUGUACAAAUGAUUAUUGAGAGAUUUAGAGUGUUAGGUACUCUUUGAAGUUGCAAAAAAAUGGCAGUGGAGAGAAAAAAGUUCCUGCUCUCAGUAGAUAUGUACUUUCCGUAACAUUUGCUAAUUUUACAAUUCCAUUUGUUGAUUAACAUGUGUCUUUACUCUCUCAAAUUCUCCAUCUUGUAUUCUAUACAUUUACAUAAGUUAUAUAUCUCCAGUACAAAUAUUAUCUCCCUUUUCCCUCCCCACUGGAGAGGCACCACUAAUCACAGAUUUUCAUGCAGUAGACAGUAUCAAUAAAUACUGUGUUUGUGAGCAUCAGGCAUGAAAUGCAUACAUAAAAAUAUCAUCAUGGAUAUAACUAUUUAUAAGUUAAUCUGGUGUCCAGAUAGUUGUUAUACUCUAUAAAAACAAACCAUUUUACUUGAAAGGAAUUUUUUUUCUCUAUUAGAUUCAUUUAAAGAAAGAAAGUCUUGUUCAAAGUUUUCAAGUUCUCAGAGUUCCUGUUGAUCAAACACUUCCUAAGCUCAAGAAGCAUCUUUAGAAUGACUUACCAUUUAAAUUGUAGAGGUAUACUUCCAGAAACAGUUUGUGUUUUCUAAAAUCAGUUUAACUCGUGUUAAAAUUUUUUGCACACAUGCUGAAAUGGUAAAAAAAUAGAAAGUGUCAUGUAUUUCCAUUAGUCUAUCAAUUGUCUCUUUGAUAUUACCUGUGAAAAAUACAACAAUAUACUCAGCCCAUGUGUCAGUAAAUCUCAGCAUGUCAGGAUAAGUAAUUCUCAACAUUAAUAUCAACUUGCUUUCAGGAGGAUAAUAAUGUUUAGGUCAUUUUGACCUUGACGUCAUUCCUGACUGCUUUUUUUCUCUCACACUGCUAACCAAUUCAUUACCAAAUCCUUUCAGCAUUACUUUUCAAAUGGAUGCAGAAUCCAAACAUUCUCAAAAUCUCCACUACUCCAAAUCCAAUUACAGCCACAAUAAUUCCUAACCUUGUCUUAAAAAGACAGUCUAACAUGUGUCCUGCCUCUACGCUUGCAGGUUUUCUUCUUUCCAUAAACCACAAUGAUUCUUUAAAAAUAUGAAUCAAUUAUGUUAUCCCACCGUUUGAAGCCCUGCAUGGCUUCCCACAGCAUGCAGAAUAAAAUCCCAAGGUUCAUGAAGGCUUCUAUGCUAUUCUCGGUCCCUUACUACCUCUCUGAUAUCAUCUGUGAUUACUCCCCUUCUUUCUUCAACCAUACUGGUCUCAUUAUAGAUCCAAGGCUCCAAGCAUGCCUUGGCCUGCCUUAAAGCAUUUAUGCAUGUUCUUCCCAUGAACUAAAACACUCUACUCCCAGAAAGUCAUGUAGUUGGUUCCUUUGUUUCCUUCUGUUUGUAUUUAGAUGGGACAUUUUCAGAACAAGUAUUCCUGGAUCAAGUUAUCUAUACUGUCCAUACUUUCUUCCACAUUUUUUUCACCAUUUCUUCAAGUAUCAUCACUUGCCUUAUAUUUUCUCAUUUAGAUUGGUGAUUAAUUAUUUACUGUUCUUUUUUCCUGCUGCUGCCUACCAUAGAACUUCUGUGAAGAAAGAAAUAUUGUUUUGCCCACAUUUAUAAAGUCAAAAUCUAUAGAAAAAUGCUUGGAAAAUGCUUAUGAUUCAUGAAUAUUCUUUGAAUGAUUAAAGAUUCUUGUUAUUGAACAGUCUGAGAAUCUUUAUAUAAAGGGGUUCUAAUUUGAAUGCUUUGUGUAAUUUAAAGUAAAAAUAGAAUGUUUACAUGAAAUAUUUAAAUUAAAUAGAUAUUUUUACACUCCACAUAUCAACCACUGAAUAAAUGUUUUUAAGUUUGUGUGAAUGAACAAAAAUGAAAUAUGUGAAAUAUGUAUCACUACAGCCUAAUCUUCAAUGAAAUCAAUCAAUUUUUAGAUUUUUUGAGCUAUGUCAUGAAAUAGAAGAUAACAUUAUCUAAAAAAGAUUCCAGAGUUUAAAGGGAAAAUUUUUUUGGUCAAGCCUAGGUGUUUUUCAUACUUUAUAAAGGCAAAGUAAUUUAUUAAAAUAGAUUUCUAUGUUUGUAUUUUAUAUUCUUUAUAUUUUCAGUUCUGUAGCUUAAGCACUUGAAUAUAAACAGUUUUAUACUGUCACAUAAUGUAAAACCCUUUGCAUUGUUGUGAUUAUCUACAGUUAAAGACAAUGAAGUCAUCUAAUACUCUCAUUAUGAUCAUCUCUAUCUUAAAGAUGGGUCACUAUAUUUCAAAACUUUAGAGUUGACAAAAUUUAGAAAGAAAAUAGGUAAAAUAUAUUUCUGUAUUGCAAAAAUGUGCUUGCAUGUGUGUUUGUGGAGAGAGAGUGAGAGAGCAAGAGAGAUUUGUUUUACUACUCAUACAAAAGCAAAGUUACAACAUAGUAUCUUAGGAAGAGUUUUAUUGUUAUCUUAUUAUAAUCCAGUUGAGCUCUAUAGAAAUUCUCAGAAUGUAUAACAUGAAAACCAAUAUUAUUUGUGAUUUCUACUGCUUCAACAUUUACUGUCAAGAUCCUUGACAGAAGAUCUAUUUUCUAUACUUACUGUUUCAACACUCUUUCUCCCUUUUUCAGUGUUGUGUUCUUUUCUGAGAGGAACUUACUAUUUCAUCUUGUGAUAUGUUGAGGCUUGCUAGAAAUUCAAGUCCAAUUCACUAGGACUAAAUAUAGAAAACAUCAUAUUUCCCAGCCAAGUAUAUAGUCAUAUCUUGUAAAGAGAAAUAUUACAAUGUCCUUCUUUGAUAUAAAAUAUCGUAAAGAUUUUCAAUUCUUUAAAUAGAAUGGUGACAUUUAAAUACAGUAUGUACACAGUAAAUAUGUCAAAUGAAGUGGAAAUAUACUAUUUCUCAUAGUACUUCAAGUUCUUAAAUUUUAGGAAUGGUUACUGUAUUAAUACUGAACUGGGAAAAAUCAUUGUAUCUGCAUAAUUUUUGAUACUAAUUGUUAAUUUAUUAAGAACAUAUGCUUGUGAGUGAUGUCACUUUUCCUAGAAUUUGACUAUUAUAAACAAAAUAAAAUGGAGAUUGAGGGUUUUUUCUGUAUUGCUGGGAAUUAUGGGAAAAUAAUUUAAAGGUAAUGUCUUUACAUUUUUAUGACAUAUAAAGAAUAAAACAAC